This 475-nucleotide ribosomal RNA is filed under the name uncultured bacterium. RNAcentral describes it as "partial 16S ribosomal RNA". It matches the Rfam family "Bacterial small subunit ribosomal RNA", at positions 29 to 524 of the family's 1533-position model. The record is from RNAcentral.
AACGAACGCUGGCGGCAGGCCUAACACAUGCAAGUCGAACGCCCUAGCAAUAGGGAGUGGCAGACGGGUGAGUAACGCGUGGGAACGUACCCUUCGGUUCGGAAUAACCCAGGGAAACUUGGACUAAUACCGGAUACAUGCGAGAGCAGAAAGAUUUAUCGCCGAAGGAUCGGCCCGCGUCCGAUUAGCUAGUUGGUGAGGUAAUGGCUCACCAAGGCGACGAUCGGUAGCUGGCUGAGAGGAUGAUCAGCCACACUGGGACUGAGACACGGCCCAGACUCCUACGGGAGGCAGCAGUGGGGAAUAUUGGACAAUGGGCGCAAGCCUGAUCCAGCCAUGCCGCGUGAGUGAUGAAGGCCCUAGGGUUGUAAAGCCCUUUCGGUGGGGAAGAAAAGUCUCGACCUAAUACGUCGGGACCUUGACGUAACCCCACUAAAGAAGCACCGGCUAACUCUGUGCCAGCAGCCGCCGCGGU